Molecule: long non-coding RNA, 1827 nt
Filed under: Sus scrofa (pig)
Lineage: Eukaryota; Metazoa; Chordata; Mammalia; Artiodactyla; Suidae
Description: lncRNA (ENSSSCG00060065699.1)
Source: RNAcentral
AAAGCGAGAACGGAAUGCCAACACUAUGCCAGGGCAAAAAGGUUGAAAGGCCUCUGGUGCCAUUGCUGUUCUUUGAAAAACUCACCGUGCGGCGUUCUUCGUGACUGAACAGACAUCUCGGGAUCCCUCGAGAGAGUCGAUUCAUCAUUCGACAGGUGUUUCCACGUGUGUGGAGGACCUUUUGCAUGCCAGGCAUGCGAUUUUGACCCAAGCAGACGGGAUAGCUACCUUCAUAAAGCUUCCAGUCUAAUGAGGCGGAAGAGGGAGAAAACAAAGAGGGCCCCAACAGGAGAAUCUUGCAGGGGAGAGGGAAACAUUUUUUUCUUUUCCUGAAUUAGAAUCAGCAGCUUUCCAGGUCCUCCCUGUCCGUCUCCACCUGCCUUCUGACCUGGGAGGCUGACCUGAGCGGCCUGAAUCAGCUCUUGGCUGAUGGGGCUCCAGGAAGGGGCAAGGAAUGUGAGGUGAGGGUCUUUGCUUGUGGCUUCCCUACUGGGUCUCUUUUUUUUUUUUUUUNNNNNNNNNNNNNNNNNNNNNNNNNNNNNNNNNNNNNNNNNNNNNNNNNNNNNNNNNNNNNNNNNNNNNNNNNNNNNNNNNNNNNNNAUCGGAGCUGUAGCCACCGGCCUACGCCAGAGCCACAGCAACGCGGGAUCCGAGCCGCGUCUGCAACCUACACCACAGCUCACGGCAACGCCGGAUCGUUAACCCACUGAGCAAGGGCAGGGACUGAACCCGCAACCUCAUGGUUCCUAGUCGGAUUCGUUAACCACUGCGCCACGACGGGAACUCCCCUACUGGGUCUCUUAAAGCUGGCAGGAUCCCUGCAUACAAGAUCCCAACUCCUCUCCAGGAGAGCUUCGCCAGGCAGCUUUUUUUGAGUUCCUCUCUCUGGGUUUUGUUAACCAUUCUCUCACUCACCUCUUAAGGCCCAGGCCACCGCGCCCUCCUGACCCCUUCCUCUGUCCGUCCCUCACUUUGGUACAGAAUCUUUACUUAAUCUGUUGGGACUCUCCUAAUUGGAGCGAGCCAUCUGUUUCCUGUUUCCUGCUGCGAUGUGUCUGACUCAACUCGACACACACUCUUAAUAGAGGCAACCAGAUUGUCACCAGACUGUAGUUGGAAUGAUUUGCUCUGUUGAUCCUGGUGGCUGAACAGCCCAGAUAUACUGGUCUGGCUGACAGGCUCACUGCUCCUGUUUUCAUCACCACAUGGCCCAGCAGCCUCUCAAUUCCCCAUCCCAAGGAAAAAGAAACUUCACGGAUGAACUUAGGGGAACAGUCAUCCUCAGGGGCUUACGAACUGAAACAGUUUGCUUGCUUGCUUUUAAAGUUCAGAUUUGUAUCUCACAAAAACCCUCAUGUUAAAUAAGCGUCUGUGCCAAAGCUAUUUUUAAUAACAGCAUGGGCUGGCGUUCCCACUGCGGCACAGUAGGUUAGGAAUCCAACUGCAGGUGCUCGGGUCACCACGGAGGCGCAGGUUUGAUGACUGGCUUGUGCGGUGGGUUAAAAGAUCCCACAGUGGGUUAAAGGUUGCUGCAGCUGCAGUGUUGGUCACAGCUCUGGCUCAGAUGCAGUCUCUGGCCUGGGAACUCCUAUAUGCUGCAGGUGAGGCCAUUACAAAAAAAAUAGUGUAAGUAGAUGGUGUAAGAGCUAGAUGUGUAUUUCUCCUUGGUGCAUUUUCAAUGCCCAGCAGGCUAUGGAUGAAAUCAUGGCUCUGGUAAUCACACCUUUAAAAUAAAAAAGAGUUUGGAGUUCCCUGAUGCGCUAGCAGUUAAGGAGCUGGUGGUGUCACUGCUGGGGCUCACGUUCAAUCCCUGACCUAGGAACUUCC